AUGAAUUUUAUACACAGAUAGCAAUGUUCUUUUCCACUUUUCAAGGACUCUGCACAUUUCAAUCAAUGGAUUUUCAGUACAUUCCAAAGUUCCAAAUAUCCACUUUUCAAUCACUACUUAAAAGAUUAGGAAAAAUCAGUCAGGCGCAUAUUGUAUGCAAAAUUUCCCAGGUAUUUGCUCUGUAUGAAUGCAAUGCCACCUGCCACAAAGCCACCAUGAAUAUGCCUUCAAAGCUUCCCCUCGCUACUUAUAAGAACCUUCAAAACUUUGAUGUUCAUGCAGAAGAAUGUCACGGUGAUAGAAAACACAUAAGGUAAUCACAAGCCUUUAGAAAGUUACAAGCAAUAUGAGAUGAAUCAGUAUCCACAUGUAUAUAUAAAAUAGGCAUAAAUGUUACAGCCAUUUUACAUUGCAGUUCUCACCAUGCUAUACAAGAACAUAUAACAGUUUCAUAUUUCCUUUGGAAUUUUCU
This 472-nucleotide long non-coding RNA is filed under the name Vigna radiata. RNAcentral's name for it is "long non-coding RNA (VRAD_LNC005570)". Lineage: Eukaryota; Viridiplantae; Streptophyta; Magnoliopsida; Fabales; Fabaceae. The record is from RNAcentral.